RNAcentral lists this unclassified non-coding RNA (210 nucleotides) under Hevea brasiliensis (rubber tree). Lineage: Eukaryota; Viridiplantae; Streptophyta; Magnoliopsida; Malpighiales; Euphorbiaceae. The record is from RNAcentral.
GCCAAAGAGUGGUUCUUCUUGGAGUUUGGAAUCGGGCAAGAAGGAAGCUUCAGCGCAGUUAUGCCUCCACAAAGACCAUUGUUUCCCAAAAACGAAAAUGCACUUGAAUUUAGAAAGAUUCCAUGUUUUGGAACCAUCCCUUGGAGUUGAUUAAAAGACAAAUUCAAAUAGUUCAGCCCAUCAAGUUGAGCUAAAGAAUCUGGAAUUUGC